CGUAGGGGCAAGCGUUGUCCGGAAUUAUUGGGCGUAAAGCGCGCGCAGGCGGUUAAUGAAGUUGGGUGUUUAAGCCCGGGGCUCAACCCCGGUUCGCAUCCAAAACUGGUUGACUUGAGUGUAGGAGAGGAAAGUGGAAUUCCACGUGUAGCGGUGAAAUGCGUAGAGAUGUGGAGGAACACCAGUGGCGAAGGCGACUUUCUGGCCUAUAACUGACGCUGAGGCGCGAAAGCGUGGGAGCAAACAGGAUU
RNAcentral lists this ribosomal RNA (251 nucleotides) under uncultured bacterium. Its description in RNAcentral is "partial 16S ribosomal RNA". It matches the Rfam family "Bacterial small subunit ribosomal RNA", at positions 526 to 779 of the family's 1533-position model. The record is from RNAcentral.